UAGGGUUUAGAGUUAAAGGUUUAGGGUUUAGAGUUGAUAUUACAGGGUUUAGGGUUAAAUUUUUAGGGUUUAGAGUUUACUUUUUAGGGUUUAGAGUUUAGUGUUGAUAGUUUAGGGUUUAGUGUUGAUGGUUAAGGGUUUAGAGUUGAAGUUUAGAGUUUAGGGUUUAGAGUUGAAGGUUUAGGGUUUAGGGUUUAGAGUUGAUGUUUCAGGGUUUAGGGUUUAGAGUUGAUGUUUUCGGGCUUAGGGUUCGUAUUUCAAAAAAAAAAAGGUUUAAGAUUGAUGGUUUAGGGUUUAGGUUCGUAUUUCAAAAAAAAGGUUUAGGAUUAAAGGUUUUGGUUUU
This 343-nucleotide long non-coding RNA is filed under the name Brassica napus (rape). RNAcentral's name for it is "long non-coding RNA (BNAP_LNC016496)". Lineage: Eukaryota; Viridiplantae; Streptophyta; Magnoliopsida; Brassicales; Brassicaceae. The record is from RNAcentral.